UACGAUUUUACCCAUUAUGAAGGCAAAGUAGCUUUGAGGAUAAACAGCCUUGACUCGGAACCAUAGAUAUAUCAGAGCCGGAAAUGGACCACGUCGGAGUUUGACUUUCAGUGGCACUUAUACCGCAAUCAGCAGCUAGCCUAAUAAUCACCUGUCUCUUAAAGUGUUUUUCGUGUGUUUAUUUACACGCCAAAAUGCCUGCUGAAAGUUUACGAUGGGAUACGUUGGAGGCCUUGAAAAACUCACAAAAGGGAAGACUGAAAUACAACCCAGACUGGCUCGAAAAGGGGGAGGAUAUUUUGUCAGGUUGUAAUGAAGCUCCUAGCUUGUCCCCACUCUCUGGGCUCAUCUUGAAGAGGCUUAACAUGAGCCCUCGAGCGCUUCAGAAGACCUGCUCUUUGGGCUCUGCUUCUCGUGACCCAGGCCUGUCUGAGGAAGCCCCAGUCUCCUCAACCAGCCCCUUCCCUUCAGCCAAUACUCAGCCCACUCCCCUCUCUUCUCCACUACUGGUCCCCAGGUUGAAGAAAGACACAGAGCAGCAGAUUGUUGGUGAUGAGGACAGUGCCCCAGAUGCCAGCGACGAUCUCAGUCCAGCCACCAACCCCAUUCCUCCCCCCACCAUCUCCCUUCUGUCUCCCAGGGCAACUCAAAUGGAAGGAUGUAUACGCAUUUGUGAGGAGAAACAUCGUGCCAAAGCUAAGAUGGAGCUGAGUCUGAGGCAGGAGCUGCAGGAGAAGCUGGUGGCCUCAGUUGCGAGCCGUGAGUCGGAGCAGCUCAAACGCUUUGAGGAGUUGAUGGAGCUGAAGCAGAGACAGGAGUACCAGAGUAUGAGGGACAUGAUGGACAGAGAAACACAAGAAAGUAUUGGGCGCCAAGAAAAGUUGAAAGAAGAGCACAAAAACAGAAUAAAGAUCCUGAACCUGCGCCUGCGGGAAGCGGAGCAACAGCGUUUGCGGGAGGUGGAAUUUGAGAGGCAGAGACAGGUGGAGGGUAGGGAGAGACUGCGUGCUCUCAACGCCAUCCAGGAAGAGAUACUUCAACUCAAUCAGCUGCUGGAGCCAGCCGCACCCACCCAGUCGGGCCCCUCCCCUGAUCUCACAUCCUAUAGCACCCGUGCCAACCAGCUAUGCUCCCAGGUGUCAGAGGUGGUGCGCAUGACAGCGGAGGGGGAGUUCCCCAGUGUGGAGGACAUGACGGUGGCGGAGCGGGCACUGCAUGAGAUGAGGUCACUGAUCCGGGUGAUGCAGGAGGCGGCUGCCCAGGCCCAGGAGAAGAGGAAGAAGGAGCAGGAGGAGGAAGAGGAGCGCAGGAAGAUGGCAAUGCUGCAGGCCCAGCAGGAAGAGCAGAAGAAGAGUGCAGCUCUGUCAGCCAAAGAGAAGGCACGGAAAAAGGGCCUGCAGACUAAAGCUGAGCAGAGCACUCUGAAGUGGUACCAAGAGCUGCAGGACUCCGCUAACCAGUGUGCACAGUCUUUUGAAGGCUUGAACAACACUAAGGAUAUCCAGACAAAGAAACUAAGAAUGGAGCUCCAGAAGGCAGCCACAAUCCCUGUCAGCCAGAUCUCCAGUAUCUCAGGUUCCAAGCUCAGGGAAAUAUUUGACAAGAUUGACAAGCUGUUGUCUGGGAGAUCAGUGGUAUCCGGAGGGAAGUCUGUCUCCACCUCCCAGCAUCCCAACGGCCUGGACUUUGUCAGCUACAAACUGGCAGAGAAGUUUGUGAAACAAGGAGAAGAGGAGGUGGCGUCCCACCACGAGGCAGCCUUCCCCAUCGCUGUGGUGGCCUCCGGGGUGUGGGAGCUUCAUCCCAAAGUCGGAGACCUCAUCCUCGCCCACCUUCAUAAGAAAUGCCCCUACGCCGUGCCCCACUACCCACCUAUGAAGGAUGGCACGUCUGUAGAGGAAUAUCAGAAAAUCUUAGGCUACCGUGUGGAAGAUGGAGGAGUGGAGGCUCAGGACAGCUUUUUGAAGAGGAUGUCAGGAAUGAUCCGCCUCUAUGCUGCUAUCAUUCAGCUCAGAUGGCCUUAUGGCUCCAAGCAGGGGCCUGACCCACAUGGGCUGAACAACGGCUGGCGCUGGCUGGCUCAGAUGCUGAACAUGGAGCCCCUGGCAGACGUCACGGCAACACUCCUUUUUGACUUCCUAGAGGUCUGUGGCAACGCCCUGAUGAAGCAGUAUCAGGUUCAGUUUUGGAAGCUCAUUCUGCUCAUCCAAGAGGAAUACUUGCCACGGAUUGAAGCCGUCACCAGCCAAGGCCAGGCGGGCUCAGUCACGAGGCUCAAGCAGUUCCUGGAGAGUUCAUUAAGAAGCAGGCAGAUCCCUCCCCCUAAAGGCCAGCUGAGCUCCCACUUCUGGAGAUCCUGAGUGUGGGACGGAAGGAUGGGAAAGAAGGUUUUGAACAUGAUGCAUCAGUUGGAUUCAAGGCUGCAUCACCUCAGUCUACAACUCAUAGAAUGCACUAGGCCUCAAGACCCUCCAUCACUCUCAGGAUCCCAUACACUGCCUGCAGAGAGGAGAGUCAAGGACAAUCAGCAAAACACACUUUGGCUAUUGUAAACAAAUAGUCUCAUCAGGAAAUCUGCAUCUGAGACAAAGUAGACAAUACAAGUUCUAGAAGUCUAAGAUAAUACUUCACAUGACAGAUGUGAUGCUCUUACCAGGUCAGCCAGAUUGGGCUGGUCUCCACCCAUGAACAACUUCCUGCCAAUGGCCUCCACCCACUCAUUGACUGCCUUGUACAGAUCCUGUCUCACAUCAUCCUGCAAGUUGUGUCUGCAGGAUAGAGGCAUUCAAUUUAAACAGAGCUCAUCACUAAGCAUUAUUGGCUAGUUAUAUAUCAGACAAUCACACAAAAAAUGGUUUUGUCACCCACCUACUUUUCAGUCGUUUUGAGAUGACAAACAUGGCAGCUGCUCCAACAUACUUUGCAAAGAAGCCCUCAUAAGUGCCAAACUUGCCCUCACGGACAAUAUAGUCAAAGGAGGCCAGGGCCUCUCCAGUGGUCCGGUACACGUUGGGCGAGAGCAGGUGAACCAGCCAAUCAUCUGCCCACGUACGCCAUUUGAUCUCCUCUCUGAAGAAGAUGGACAGUGAAGAGAAAGGGACAUUUAACCCCAGAUGAUGCUUGACAAUCUAUCAAGAGUAGUGAUGCACAGUAUGUCUUUAGAGAGGUUUGGACAGAUACAUUAAUUUUCAUUAGUAACCCAUGCACUGAGAAUUGUCAUUAUGGGCAGCAGUAAUUUGUCAUCCAAUGUGUUCACCUACUUUCUGGAGUCUUUCUCUGGGUACAUCGUCUGACCUUCAGCUUCAUUCACCAUUACACAGUACUUGUUGUUGAA
Salmo salar (Atlantic salmon) is the source of this 3334-nucleotide RNA transcript. It is a transcript of the gene named GLE1 RNA export mediator, with no coding region annotated. NCBI's taxonomy places the organism in Eukaryota, Metazoa, Chordata, Actinopteri, Salmoniformes, Salmonidae. The record is from RefSeq and is marked provisional.